UACGUAGGGGGCAAGCGUUGUCCGGAUUCAUUGGGCGUAAAGAGCGUGUAGGCGGCCAGGUAGGUCGGUUGUGAAAACUCGAGGCUCAACCUCGAGAUGUCGGCGGAAACCAUCUGGCUAGAGUCCGGAAGAGGAGAGUGGAAUUCCUGGUGUAGCGGUGAAAUGCGCAGAUAUCAGGAAGAACACCCGUGGCGAAGGCGGCUCUCUGGGACGGUACUGACGCUGAGACGCGAAAGCGUGGGGAGCGAACAGG
RNAcentral lists this ribosomal RNA (253 nucleotides) under uncultured bacterium. RNAcentral describes it as "partial 16S ribosomal RNA". It matches the Rfam family "Bacterial small subunit ribosomal RNA", at positions 524 to 776 of the family's 1533-position model. The record is from RNAcentral.